RNAcentral lists this long non-coding RNA (293 nucleotides) under Nicotiana benthamiana. RNAcentral's name for it is "long non-coding RNA (NBEN_LNC038983)". The record is from RNAcentral. Lineage: Eukaryota; Viridiplantae; Streptophyta; Magnoliopsida; Solanales; Solanaceae.
CGUCACAGAAGAUGACAGUGGCACCAACAAGCUCUUCAUUGAGUUCUGCUACGAUAUAUCUAACAGCAAAGUUGAACUCUAGUAUCAUGUCGUUAAUGGUUUCGACACACUGUCCAUUCUUGCUAUGGUAUAGCCAUAGGUAAUAAGGAGCACACCCUAUUGGAGCAGUAUCAUGUCGUUUAUGGUUUCGACACACUGUCCAUUCUUUCUAUGGUAUAGCCAUAGGUAAAAUAAGGAGCACAACCUAUUGGAGCCAGUCCCGUUACAACCACCUUUCUCACGUUGGCAUUGUA